This is a non-coding RNA of Mus musculus (house mouse), 927 nucleotides long. Lineage: Eukaryota; Metazoa; Chordata; Mammalia; Rodentia; Muridae. The record is from the annotation of a RefSeq genome assembly.
ACAUCCAGAACCCAGAACCUGCUGUGUACCAGUUAAAAGAUCCUCGGUCUCAGGACAGCACCCUCUGCCUGUUCACCGACUUUGACUCCCAAAUCAAUGUGCCGAAAACCAUGGAAUCUGGAACGUUCAUCACUGACAAAACUGUGCUGGACAUGAAAGCUAUGGAUUCCAAGAGCAAUGGGGCCAUUGCCUGGAGCAACCAGACAAGCUUCACCUGCCAAGAUAUCUUCAAAGAGACCAACGCCACCUACCCCAGUUCAGACGUUCCCUGUGAUGCCACGUUGACUGAGAAAAGCUUUGAAACAGAUAUGAACCUAAACUUUCAAAACCUGUCAGUUAUGGGACUCCGAAUCCUCCUGCUGAAAGUAGCCGGAUUUAACCUGCUCAUGACGCUGAGGCUGUGGUCCAGUUGAGGUCUGCAAGACUGACAGAGCCUGACUCCCAAGCUCCAUCCUCCUCACCCCUCCGCUCCUUCUUCAAGCCAAAAGGAGCCCUCCCACCUCGUCAAGACGGCUGUCUGGGGUCUGGUUGGCCCUGAUUCACAAUCCCACCUGGAUCUCCCAGAUUUGUGAGGAAGGUUGCUGGAGAGCUAAGCACUGCUGCCGCACCCACUCAGCUCCCUCACUGCUGCUGACCAUUCACAAAAAACGGCAGGGGCGGGGCUUCUCCUGGAUCUGAAGACCCCUCCCCCAUGGCAGACUCCCCUGUAAAAUCUCUUGGAGAAUGUUGUAAAAAAAAUAUCGGUUGUUUUUUGUUUUUUUUUUUUUUGCGGGUUUAUUUUUUUAAGCAUCCAUGAAGAAAUGCAUAUUACUCUUUCAUCAAGGUGUAGAAAUUAUCUCAUUGUCUAGACCCUCCUGCUACUGUGUGUAUUGAGCCACAUUGUAUAUUAUUCUGCUGUCCAUGACAUCAUUAAAGGUGAUUCAGAAA